GACGAACGCUGUCGGCGUGCUUAACACAUGCAAGUCGAACGGAAAGGCCCUGCUUUUGUGGGGUGCUCGAGUGGCGAACGGGUGAGUAACACGUGAGUAACCUGCCCUUGACUUUGGGAUAACUUCAGGAAACUGGGGCUAAUACCGGAUAGGAGCUCCUGCUGCAUGGUGGGGGUUGGAAAGUUUCGGCGGUUGGGGAUGGACUCGCGGCUUAUCAGCUUGUUGGUGGGGUAGUGGCUUACCAAGGCUUUGACGGGUAGCCGGCCUGAGAGGGUGACCGGCCACAUUGGGACUGAGAUACGGCCCAGACUCCUACGGGAGGCAGCAGUGGGGAAUAUUGCACAAUGGGCGGAAGCCUGAUGCAGCAACGCCGCGUGCGGGAUGACGGCCUUCGGGUUGUAAACCGCUUUCGCCUGUGACGAAGCGUGAGUGACGGUAAUGGGUAAAGAAGCACCGGCUAACUACGUGCCAGCAGCCGCGGUGAUACGUAGGGUGCGAGCGUUGUCCGGAUUUAUUGGGCGUAAAGGGCUCGUAGGUGGUUGAUCGCGUCGGAAGUGUAAUCUUGGGGCUUAACCCUGAGCGUGCUUUCGAUACGGGUUGACUUGAGGAAGGUAGGGGAGAAUGGAAUUCCUGGUGGAGCGGUGGAAUGCGCAGAUAUCAGGAGGAACACCAGUGGCGAAGGCGGUUCUCUGGGCCUUUCCUGACGCUGAGGAGCGAAAGCGUGGGGAGCGAACAGGCUUAGAUACCCUGGUAGUCCACGCUGUAAACGGUGGGUACUAGGUGUGGGGUCCAUUCCACGGGUUCCGUGCCGUAGCUAACGCUUUAAGUACCCCGCCUGGGGAGUACGGCCGCAAGGCUAAAACUCAAAGGAAUUGACGGGGCCCCGCACAAGCGGCGGAGCAUGCGGAUUAAUUCGAUGCAACGCGUAGAACCUUACCUGGGUUUGACAUGGAUCGGGAGUGCUCAGAGAUGGGUGUGCCUCUUUUGGGGUCGGUUCACAGGUGGUGCAUGGCUGUCGUCAGCUCGUGUCGUGAGAUGUUGGGUUAAGUCCCGCAACGAGCGCAACCCUUGUUCACUGUUGCCAGCACGUUAUGGUGGGGACUCAGUGGAGACCGCCGGGGUCAACUCGGAGGAAGGUGGGGAUGACGUCAAGUCAUCAUGCCCCUUAUGUCCAGGGCUUCACGCAUGCUACAAUGGCUGGUACAGAGAGUGGCGAGCCUGUGAGGGUGAGCGAAUCUCGGAAAGCCGGUCUCAGUUCGGAUUGGGGCCUGCAACUCGACCUCAUGAAGUCGGAGUCGCUAGUAAUCGCAGAUCAGCAACGCUGCGGUGAAUACGUUCCCGGG
Molecule: ribosomal RNA, 1343 nt
Filed under: uncultured bacterium
Lineage: Bacteria
Description: 16S ribosomal RNA
Rfam family: Bacterial small subunit ribosomal RNA
Source: RNAcentral